UGAGAAGAUAGCAAAAGCUGAAGCAGACACAGAAUCCACAAGUGGAAAAUACAGCAGUGCCAUUAAAGGAGUGGGCAUGUGGCCUAUUUCUGGCCCUAUGAAGCAAAAGGAGAGGUCUGCUGGGAGACUUCCUGAAACUGCUCUUCCUGGAAGGAGGGAAACAAACAAAACAACAACAAAAGAACUUUACAAGAGAAAGCUUUUUAUCCCAGCCCCUUCCUACUCCCAUUGAAUGCAGCUCUGUGAGGACACGAUAUUUGAAGCUGCAGUAGCUGAGGUGGCAAAAGAUGGCAGAACAGAAGAGCAGACAGAAUCUGGGUCCUAGAUGACUUCAUUGCACUGCUGCAACUGCCUUCUCCAGACCUCUUGCCAGCUCUGACCAAUACCAGUGUGGGUUGUCUAAACAAAUUAAUUUUUAAAAGUAAGGAAUGUGUCUUUUCAGGCCUGUGGUUCCCUAUGGAAACACUGACAAGAACAGGUGGAAGAAAUAUGUGGUCUUCGGUUAAAAACUCUUCAGGGUUCAAAGAAGGGCACUCUCACAUCAUGUGAUGGGUGAGCUCUAGUCAUUCUGUGAGAGGAACUCCAGGAGACCAGAUCCAACUCGCAAUCAGCUAUAGUGAAGUUAUGAUAUGAGAAGCACCAACUUGGCACAAGACUUGGGAAAGGCAAUGAGGCAGCAGGCAAGCUUUAAGGGAUGACACUUACCUUGAGGGAGCAAGGACAAGUUGUGACCUUCCCAGUCCUCUCUCCAUUUGCAGAUCAGCAAGCUUCUGUCAGCAAGGAGGGGUGGACAAUGAAACUGGGUUCAGCUUGAUUUGUUUUUUGAGACAGGUAUGGCAAGGGGCUGCCAACAAGGUAAGUCAUCUUUGGACAAGCCAAGUGCUUUGGGAAACAAUUGUUUCUGAAAAUAAGUGUUUGUGUCAAACAUUCUCUUUGUUAGUAGGAGACAUUUUUGUUGGAUCAUGUUGUCCUCAGCAAAAGAGGUUGCAGAGAAGUUAAGGAAGUUGGGAUAACUUAGAGUCUCAGUGCUUUGGGGCAAUUUACAGACAGCACUGUGUGAUCCUCCCAUCUCAGGACUUACAUCAUGUUGCUAACUCCCUCACUGGGGGCCAUGGUUCUGAAAGGAAGAAAGCAUGUCUUAUUCACUCACCUUUGAGUCUCCAGCACUGAGCACAGCACCUGUCACUCAGUAGGCACUCAAUAAAUGUAAAUUGAUAUGAAACAUGACACGUGGUGCCUUUUACAGAACAAAAAUUAAUUUGUCCUAAAGGCCUCCAGGGAUGCAAUUCUGAAUUUUAGUAUGUGUCUACCUUAGGGUUGAGGUUAAUGUUUAAGUGUGACAAGAAAGGGUUAGUUUGGCUGAAAUAGUUCUUCCUGUGGUAUUAACUGGUAAAAUGAAAUAUAAUGUCAUUCUAAUCUCUUCCAAGCCUUUCCUGAUUCAAACAUGGAAAUGUGUUUCUGCAGAUUGGGGCGUUUCAGCUAAAGGUUCAACGAGAUUAAAAAGGAGAAAGCUUGAGUCGUUUGAGUCAAUAUCACAAACAGGAUUUAGGUAUUCAUUAAGAUAAGGAUAAACUGCUAAAUUUAGGUUUACUCAUGAUUAAUUUGUUUGAUGUAUUUCCUUGCAGAAUAAUACAUGAACUAGAUUUUGAAUGUGAUACAGACACACACCAUUUUUUACAAUAUAUAGCUUAAAAAUUUAGAUGUAUUCUAUGUGUACAAUCCAGAAAGGAGAUGAAAUCCUGCCUCCUCUUUUAUAAACUUAUUUGGAGGGGGAGCUAAAUGGAAGCCAAAUUUUUGCUGAACUCAAAUUGGCCAUGGAUUCUGGAUACACUGGGGCUGGAGAAGGGUAUGGUUGAGAAGGACAAGAGGCAUUGCACAAACACAUUCCUGGAAAUAAAUCUACACAGACUGGUUGACUUGAAAACUGGUUAAUCAGAAAUUUUGCCCUGCUUCGGGUAAAGCUAGAAACAUUGAAUCCCAACUCUGUGAGUAACAUGCCUAAUAGGAAAACUGAAAAUUCUGUGUAUUUCUUUUCCAAAAUUAAAUGGCAGCCAACGUUUGCAGAAAAAAAAAAAAAAAAACAACCACAAUGGGGAAUUAGAUUACAGCUGUUUGCUUAAAAAUUGAUAACUGAUUUUGUUGUUUCUUUAAUGGAAAUAUUUGUAUUGUGCAUUCUUGUUGUUGUCUGAAGAAAAAUGGUGAGAAUAUUACAGUGCGACUGCAGAAUACAAGUUUGAUAGAACUAAUCUGAUUUACCUUAGAUACACUCCUCAUUCGGGAGAAUUUAUUUAACUGGUAAUUUAAUUUAGGUGGAGAGGCACUUUAAUUGGAGUUGAUUACUGUGGGAUUUUUACAUAAAGUACGAUGCACUCUUGAGUUACAGCACCACAUGAUGUAAAAUUGGGUAAUUUUAAGCCACUGGAUAUUUUUAUCCCAACUAUAAUAGAAUUUGCUGAAAAAUGCUUAUUAACUGAAACUGUUUUCUAGGUUGGAUACUAUUUGGAAAAUCUUUGGCACUAUGUCAAAGAUGGUUGGAAAUUUACUAAAGCUAGCAGACCAAAAAACAAAACAAAACAAAACAAAAAGACUUAAUUUAUUAGGACUGCAGUGGUGAUGUGUUGUCACUUCAGGACACCCCACUACCUGAAUUGCAGCAGUGUUGCGAAUCAUCACUCUGCAGUGAAUGGGAAUUUUUGGUUUAGAGUUUAACAGAUUUUCCUGGUCUUUCUCCUAGCGACUGACACAGAAAUACGAAAGAAUAAAAUGAUUCCAAAAAAAAAAAAAACACCUACAUUAACCAUUUGGGGGUAAAAACGAUGAAAAUGUAAAGGCAAAUGAUGAAUUUAUCAAAAAGAAUGAAGGAACAGAUAGCAUAUGUAUGUAGGAACACAGUAGCUUUAAAAUAUCAGAAAGAUGAAGGACAGAAAUGCCAAGUGAAGCAGAGGGUUUCUACAUUUGUCUUCUGCUUUUGCAUGUCCCACAUUCCCUUAUGUAAUAGAUCUUUAAUGGAUUCCCUACUGUCACAGAACCUUUAUAAGACCAGCCUAUGGAGAAUGCAAAGGAACUAAAUAAUGGACAGUUAACGUUCUGGAAAAGCAAUUUAUUAUCUUGCUAGGAGCUGGCUUCUCAUUGCAUUUAGAAUAAACUUUAAACAGCUAUAUCAUCUUCCAGGCCUGAUAUGAUCUGGCCCCUGCAAACUUACCUUCACAUCUUCCACUCCCAUCCUCAUUCUUCAGGCUCUAGCUACACUGGCUUUCUUUCAUCCUUGGACUUUCUACACUGGUUCUUUCUGCAAGGCUUUGCACUGCCAUGCUCUCUCUCUGGAAUGCUUUUCCUUUGACUAAAUUUUUCCAUGUAAUUCAGGUCUUAGUUCAAUUUUAAUCUCCCCUAAGAGAUUUCCCAUCCUAUCUAAAGCAGUCUAUGCCCUUCCCUAUCCCUAGGUCCCGCAAUCACAUUACCUAGUUAGAUUUCCUUCAAACCUCUUGAAAUUCCCUUAUUUAUUCUUUUGAGUUUUUUUCCACUUCACCUUCCCCAUAGAACAUGAGCUCCUCAGUGUCAGGGGUCUUCUGUUUCGUUCACUGCUAUAUCCCCAACACCUAGAAUAGAACAUGACACACAGUGAGCCAUGAAUGAAUGAGAAAGAGUACAGGACUCACAGUGGAACUGCCUAUGAACAAAAGGAAUACUGGACAAAAAGAAAUGGACUAGGGAAGAAAAUCAGGAAGAAGAGGAACAAAGAAUGGGGUCUAGGGACUGAGAAUUGGUUAUAGUGUACAAUUUUAGCCCCUAUAAAAAAGUUUUUUACAUGCAUUCCAAGCAGAGGGAAUGGCAAGUGCUAAGAGGAAGUCUUUCCAUCACUACACACAGCUGUUUUUUACUUUGUUGUUGUUAGUGGUUUUGUUUUCAGUGUGUGUGUUGGGAGUGGGGGGAGGAUGGGUGUGAGGGAUCUCUGCGUGUUUCUCUCAGGGGAAGGCUGGGUUUUCUCUUUCAGCCUACAGGUGUUGCUGCAUGUUCUUGGGGUGGCCAAUGGAGCACUAGACAGGAAUACCACCCAUGGCAGCUCUGCAACUUAUUCUAAGACUUUUAGGGCAAGAGGCAGGAAAGAGUGAAGGAAUGAUCACCACAUUGUACCAGGGGUAUACCAGUGAGAGGUAAGAUGAUCUGGGUGGUAGCAGUGACCCCCACUUUUUUUACCCAGAAAAAGAUGGAUAAAUGCUCUGACAUUGCUGUGACCCAGGGAUCUGUGGCCAUGGUUGCUUGUGCAGGCAGCAGCCAAUACUUCUGAAUGGCUCCCUUGGGACUACAAAACUGUGUGUGGGCGCAGGGAGCCCAUACUAUUUGCCACAUCAGAAAAAUCCAUUCAUGAAAAGGAAAGACAGAGAAUGAUAAAAGUCUUCUCAGAAAGCCUUAGCAAAAUGGGUGCUUUUAUUUUCACAGACAUGUC
This 4444-nucleotide long non-coding RNA is filed under the name Homo sapiens (human). RNAcentral's name for it is "HSALNT0153196". The record is from RNAcentral. Lineage: Eukaryota; Metazoa; Chordata; Mammalia; Primates; Hominidae.